RNAcentral lists this unclassified non-coding RNA (289 nucleotides) under Ficus callophylla. Its description in RNAcentral is "partial contains external transcribed spacer and 18S ribosomal RNA". The record is from RNAcentral. Lineage: Eukaryota; Viridiplantae; Streptophyta; Magnoliopsida; Rosales; Moraceae.
GGUAGCAUCCUUUCUCGACUUCGGUCCCUCAUUUGCUGCCACGGGCCUGGACGGCCUGCGGUCAUUGAGGGCAUCGAAAGUCAUUCCUAUCGAGGGACUUGAUUGGGAGCAACCGGGGGCCGAGGCCCCCCAAUGUCCGCUUAAUUUUCCACAUCCGAGAGCGCGAGCAGUCGCCCCCGUGCACCGAUACAGCCACGACAACRGUCAGAGGACAUGUCCGGGACACGAGGUCUGCUUUCGAGGUCCACUUUGCAGCCGCAGAGCCACAAGGGGGAAAGGGGCGGGGGCA